ACGCUGGCGGCACGCCUAACACAUGCAAGUCGAACGAAGUAGCAAUACUUAGUGGCAGACGGGUGAGUAACAUGUGGGUAUCUGCCCUUUGGCCUGGAAUAACACGAGGAAACUUGUGCUAAUACCGGAUAAGUCUUUACGGAGAAAGCUUUAUGCACCAUUGGAUGAGCCCGCACUUGAUUAGUUUGUUGGUGGGGUAAUGGCCUACCAAGACUUUGAUCAAUAGCUGAUUUGAGAGGAUGAUCAGCCACAUUGGGACUGAGACACGGCCCAAACUCCUACGGGAGGCAGCAGUGGGGAAUCUUGCACAAUGGAGGAAACUCUGAUGCAGCGAUGCCGCGUGAGUGAAGAAGGCCCUUGGGUUGUAAAGCUCUUUCGUCGGGGAAGAAAAUGACUGUACCCGAAUAAGAAGGUCCGGCUAACUUCGUGCCAGCAGCCGCGGUAAUACGAAGGGACCUAGCGUAGUUCGGAAUUACUGGGCUUAAAGAGUUCGUAGGUGGUUGAAAAAGUUGGUGGUGAAAUCCCAGAGCUUAACUCUGGAACUGCCAUCAAAACUUUUCAGCUAGAGUUUGAUAGAGGAAAGCAGAAUUUCUAGUGUAGAGGUGAAAUUCGUAGAUAUUAGAAAGAAUACCAAUUGCGAAGGCAGCUUUCUGGAUCAUUACUGACACUGAGGAACGAAAGCAUGGGUAGCGAAGAGGAUUAGAUACCCUCGUAGUCCAUGCCGUAAACGAUGUGUGUUAGACGUUGGAAAUUAAUUUUCAGUGUCGCAGCGAAAGCGAUAAACACACCGCCUGGGGAGUACGACCGCAAGGUUAAAACUCAAAUGAAUUGACGGGGACCCGCACAAGUAGUGGAGCAUGUGGUUUAAUUCGAAGAUACGCGCAGAACCUUACCAACACUUGACAUGUUCGUCGCGACUUUAAGAGAUUAAAGUUUUCGGUUCGGCCGGACGAAACACAGGUGCUGCAUGGCUGUCGUCAGCUCGUGUCGUGAGAUGUUGGGUUAAGUCCCGCAACGAGCGCAACCCUCACUUUUAGUUGCCAUCAUUUAGUUGGGCACUCUGAAAGAACUGCCAGUGAUAAGCUGGAGGAAGGUGGGGAUGACGUCAAGUCCUCAUGGCCCUUACGUGUUGGGCUACACACGUGCUACAAUGGUAUCUACAACAGGAAGCGAAACAGCGAUGUUAAGCAAAUCCUUAAAAGAUACCUCAGUUCGGAUUGCACUCUGCAACUCGAGUGCAUGAAGCUGGAAUUACUAGUAAUCGUGGAUCAGCGUGCCACGGUGAAUGCGUUCCCGGGUCUUGUACACACCGCCCGUCACACCAUGGGAGUUGGUUCUACCUUAAGGCAAGGUUUAAUACCCUUGACCACGGUAUAGUCAGCGACUGGGGUGAAGUCGUAACAAGGUAGCC
Molecule: ribosomal RNA, 1411 nt
Filed under: uncultured bacterium
Lineage: Bacteria
Description: 16S ribosomal RNA
Rfam family: Bacterial small subunit ribosomal RNA
Source: RNAcentral